AGAUCAACCUGGCAGGGUCACGAAGGUGGUUUCCCAGGAUGAGGCCUGUCCCGUGCACUGCGGGCAGGUUGACCCCUGUGAGUUUCCCCACACCCGGGAAAUGACUGCACUGUUUUGUGGCAACGGCGAGCUGUGUUCUUGCUCUCCCCCU
Molecule: small nuclear RNA, 151 nt
Filed under: Crocodylus porosus (Australian saltwater crocodile)
Lineage: Eukaryota; Metazoa; Chordata; Crocodylia; Crocodylidae
Description: U1 spliceosomal RNA (ENSCPRG00005012514.1)
Rfam family: U1 spliceosomal RNA
About the family: U1 is a small nuclear RNA (snRNA) component of the spliceosome (involved in pre-mRNA splicing).
Source: RNAcentral